Molecule: unclassified non-coding RNA, 654 nt
Filed under: Melitaea cinxia (Glanville fritillary)
Lineage: Eukaryota; Metazoa; Arthropoda; Insecta; Lepidoptera; Nymphalidae
Description: misc RNA ENSMCXG00005014336.1
Source: RNAcentral
GUUCUUAGCGGAUGUCUACGUCCUAUAAGGAGCCUACCUGCCAAAUUUCAAGUUUGUAGAUGUUAUAGUUUCGGAGAUUUUGUGAUCAGUGAGUCAACCUACCAUCCCCGUUUUAACCCCAAAAAAGGGGUUGAUUUCUAAAGAUACAUUAUUUGGACGCCUUCUCAUCAUCUAUAGAGCAUACAUUUUAAAUUUCAAGUCUUUUACUUCUAAAACAUAGGACUUUCAUACAAACUUCCAACCCCCCGUUUUACCCCCUUAGGGGUCGAGUUUCGUAAAAUCCGUUCUUAACGGAUGUCUACGCCCUAUAAAGAGCCUUUCUGCCAAAUUUCAAGUUUGUAGGUGUUAUAGUUUCAGAGAUUUCGUGAUCAGUGAGUCAACCUACCAUCCCCCGUUUUAACCCCAAAAAGGGGUUGAUUUCUAAAGAUACAUUAUUUGGACGCCUUUUCAUCAUCUAUAGAGCAUAAAUUUUAAAUUUCAGGUCUCUUACUUCAAAAACAUAGGACUUUCAUACAAACUUCCAACCCCCGUUUUACCCCCUUAGGGGUCGAGUUUCGUAAAAUCCGUUCUUAGCGGAUGUCUACGUCCUAUAAGGAGCCUACCUGCCAAAUUCCAAGUUUGUAGGUGUUAUAGUUUCGGAGAUUUCGUGAUGAG